RNAcentral lists this ribosomal RNA (631 nucleotides) under uncultured fungus. RNAcentral's name for it is "eukaryotic LSU rRNA". It matches the Rfam family "Eukaryotic large subunit ribosomal RNA", at positions 1 to 649 of the family's 3401-position model. Lineage: Eukaryota; Fungi. The record is from RNAcentral.
CCUCGGAUCAGGUAGGGAUACCCGCUGAACUUAAGCAUAUCAAUAAGCGGAGGAAAAGAAACCAACAGGGAUUACCUCAGUAACGGCGAGUGAAGCGNUAACAGCUCAAAUUUGAAAUCUGGCUCUUUCAGGGUCCGAGUUGUAAUUUGUAGAAGAUGCUUUGGGUGUGGCUCCGGUCUAAGUUCCUUGGAACAGGACGUCAUAGAGGGUGAGAAUCCCGUAUGUGACUGGAAGCUUUCGCCCGUGUAAAGCUCUUUCGACGAGUCGAGUUGUUUGGGAAUGCAGCUCAAAAUGGGUGGUAAAUUUCAUCUAAAGCUAAAUAUUGGCCAGAGACCGAUAGCGCACAAGUAGAGUGAUCGAAAGAUGAAAAGCACUUUGGAAAGAGAGUUAAACAGUACGUGAAAUUGUUGAAAGGGAAGCGCUUGCAACCAGACUCGCAAUCCGUCGAUCAUCCAGGGUUCUCCCCGGUGCACUCGGCGGUUUUCGGGCCAGCAUCGGUUUCGGUGGUGGGAUAAAGGCCUUGGGAAUGUAGCUUCUUUCGGGGAGUGUUAUAGCCCUCGGUGCAAUGCCGCCUACUGGGACCGAGGACCGCGCUUCGGCUAGGAUGCUGGCGUAAUGGUUGUAAGCGACC